CUACGGGAGGCUCCAGUGAGGAAUAUUGCACAAUGGGGGGAACCCUGAUGCAGCAACGCCGCGUGGAGGAUGACGCAUUUCGGUGUGUAAACUCCUUUUAUAUGUCAAGAAAAUGACGGUAGCAUAUGAAUGAGCACCGGCUAACUCCGUGCCAGCAGCCGCGGUAAUACGGGAGGGUGCAAGCGUUACUCGGAAUCACUGGGCGUAAAGGACGCGUAGGCGGGUUGGAAAGUCAGGUGUGAAAUCCUACAGCUUAACUGUAGAACUGCACUUGAAACUUCUAAUCUAGAGUAUGGGAGGGGGAGAUGGAAUUAGUGGUGUAGGGGUAAAAUCCGUAGAUAUCACUAGGAAUACCUAAAGCGAAGGCGAUCUCCUGGAACAUUACUGACGCUAAGGCGUGAAAGCGUGGGGAGCAAACAGGAUUAGAUACCCUGGUAGUC
Molecule: ribosomal RNA, 440 nt
Filed under: uncultured bacterium
Lineage: Bacteria
Description: partial 16S ribosomal RNA
Rfam family: Bacterial small subunit ribosomal RNA
Source: RNAcentral